This 299-nucleotide signal recognition particle RNA is filed under the name Saimiri boliviensis boliviensis (Bolivian squirrel monkey). Its description in RNAcentral is "Metazoan signal recognition particle RNA (ENSSBOG00000004690.1)". It matches the Rfam family "Metazoan signal recognition particle RNA". From Rfam's summary of the family: The signal recognition particle (SRP) is a universally conserved ribonucleoprotein. The record is from RNAcentral. Lineage: Eukaryota; Metazoa; Chordata; Mammalia; Primates; Cebidae.
GCCAGGCACAGUGGCACGUGCCUCUAGUCCCAGCUACUCAGGAGACUGAGGUGGGAGGAUUGCUUGAGCCCAGGAGUUCUGGGCUGUAGUGUGUUAUGCCAGUCGGGUGUCCACACUAAGUUCGGCAUCAGUGUGGUGACCUUCUGGGAGCAGGGGACCACCAGAUUGCCUAAGGAGGGGUGAACAGGCCCAGGUCGGAAACAGAGCAGGUCAAAACUCCCAUGCUGAUCAGUAGUGGGAUUGCACCUGUGAAUAGCCACUGCACUCCAGCCUGGGCAACAUAGCGAGACCCCGUCUCU